RNAcentral lists this small nucleolar RNA (137 nucleotides) under Ornithorhynchus anatinus (platypus). Lineage: Eukaryota; Metazoa; Chordata; Mammalia; Monotremata; Ornithorhynchidae. The record is from RNAcentral.
ACCCUCUCGGGGUCACCCCUGGAGAGUUUCCAGUUCUCUACCAGUCUCGACUAUUGGAGGGAGAGUCAAACAGAGGCAUAACCAUUCCAUUCCUAGCUGGGCAGUGGCUAGGGAGUGGAAGGCAAUCUGCUACAAGU